GUGGGGAAUUUUGGACAAUGGGCGAAAGCCUGAUCCAGCCAUGCCGCGUGCAGGAUGAAGGCCUUCGGGUUGUAAACUGCUUUUGUACGGAACGAAAAGACUCCUUCUAAUAAAGGGGGUCCAUGACGGUACCGUAAGAAUAAGCACCGGCUAACUACGUGCCAGCAGCCGCGGUAAUACGUAGGGUGCAAGCGUUAAUCGGAAUUACUGGGCGUAAAGCGUGCGCAGGUGGUUAUAUAAGACAGAUGUGAAAUCCCCGGGCUCAACCUGGGAACUGCAUUGGUGACUGUAUAGCUAGAGUACGGUAGAGGGGGAUGGAAUUCCGCGUGUAGCAGUGAAAUGCGUAGAUAUGCGGAGGAACACCGAUGGCGAAGGCAAUCCCCUGGACCUGUACUGACGCUCAUGCACGAAAGCGUGGGGAGCAAACAGGAUUAGAAACCCCUGUAGUCC
Molecule: ribosomal RNA, 450 nt
Filed under: uncultured bacterium
Lineage: Bacteria
Description: partial 16S ribosomal RNA
Rfam family: Bacterial small subunit ribosomal RNA
Source: RNAcentral